RNAcentral lists this long non-coding RNA (114 nucleotides) under Mustela putorius furo (domestic ferret). RNAcentral describes it as "lncRNA (ENSMPUG00000030021.1)". Lineage: Eukaryota; Metazoa; Chordata; Mammalia; Carnivora; Mustelidae. The record is from RNAcentral.
UUUGCUUCCGGGUUUCGUCUCUGGAUGAAGCUAAGUGCAGGGGAACCAUGUGGGAGCAGCUGCUGCCCUUCACUGUAGACCUGCACGCUCGCCUGGCCCAGAGGUGAAAGAAAC